This 293-nucleotide long non-coding RNA is filed under the name Vigna radiata. RNAcentral describes it as "long non-coding RNA (VRAD_LNC008536)". The record is from RNAcentral. Lineage: Eukaryota; Viridiplantae; Streptophyta; Magnoliopsida; Fabales; Fabaceae.
CUUAUAUAUAUUAAUUUAUUUUCUAUUUAAUUUGUUGAUUUCCUUAAUCUUCUCCCCUUCAUAGAUUUUCAUUGGAUAAAAUCUCUUUUGACCAAUUCUAACAAUCUCCCACUUGAAGACUGAUUUUAAUUUGUCUUCACACCUUAGUCAUUACACCACCAAUCUUCUGUAGUCUAUUAUUGUAGCAAGCCAACUGAAGUUGAACACAAUUUCAGUUUGUCAAUGGUUACCACUUUUGUUAACAUGUCUGCUGGAUUUUUACUUUCGAGAAUCUUUCUCAAUGUUAGCACCCC